CCUACGGGGUGCACCAGUGGGGAAUAUUGGACAAUGGGCGCAAGCCUGAUCCAGCCAUACCGCGUGGGUGAAGAAGGCCUUCGGGUUGUAAAGCCCUUUUGUUGGGAAAGAAAUCCUAUCGGUUAAUAACCGGUGGGGAUGACGGUACCCAAAGAAUAAGCACCGGCUAACUUCGUGCCAGCAGCCGCGGUAAUACGAAGGGUGCAAGCGUUACUCGGAAUUACUGGGCGUAAAGCGUGCGUAGGUGGUGGUUUAAGUCUGCUGUGAAAGCCCUGGGCUCAACCUGGGAAUUGCAGUGGAUACUGGAUCACUAGAGUGUGGUAGAGGGAUGCGGAAUUUCUGGUGUAGCAGUGAAAUGCGUAGAGAUCAGAAGGAACAUCCGUGGCGAAGGCGGCAUCCUGGGCCAACACUGACACUGAGGCACGAAAGCGUGGGGAGCAAACAGGAUUAGAUACCCUAGUAGUC
RNAcentral lists this ribosomal RNA (465 nucleotides) under uncultured bacterium. Its description in RNAcentral is "bacterial SSU rRNA". It matches the Rfam family "Bacterial small subunit ribosomal RNA", at positions 338 to 795 of the family's 1533-position model. The record is from RNAcentral.